Molecule: ribosomal RNA, 253 nt
Filed under: uncultured bacterium
Lineage: Bacteria
Description: partial 16S ribosomal RNA
Rfam family: Bacterial small subunit ribosomal RNA
Source: RNAcentral
UACGUAGGUGGCAAGCGUUGUCCGGAUUUAUUGGGUUUAAAGGGUGCGUAGGCGGUUCUUUAAGUCAGUGGUGAAAUACAGCCGCUUAACGGUUGAGGUGCCAUUGAUACUGGGGAACUUGAGUACAGACGAGGUAGGCGGAAUUGACGGUGUAGCGGUGAAAUGCAUAGAUAUCGUCAAGAACACCGAUAGCGAAGGCAGCUUACUAGACUGUAACUGACGCUGAUGCACGAAAGUGUGGGGAUCAAACAGG